GACGAACGCUGGCGGCGUGCCUAAUACAUGCAAGUAGAACGCUGAAGGAGGAGCUUGCUCUUCUGGAUGAGUUGCGAACGGGUGAGUAACGCGUAGGUAACCUGUCUGGUAGCGGGGGAUAACUAUUGGAAACGAUAGCUAAUACCGCAUAAGAGUAGAUGUUGCAUGACAUUUACUUAAAAGGUGCAAUUGCAUCACUACCAGAUGGACCUGCGUUGUAUUAGCUAGUUGGUGGGGUAACGGCUUACCAAGGCGACGAUACAUAGCCGACCUGAGAGGGUGAUCGGCCACACUGGGACUGAGACACGGCCCAGACUCCUACGGGAGGCAGCAGUAGGGAAUCUUCGGCAAUGGACGGAAGUCUGACCGAGCAACGCCGCGUGAGUGAAGAAGGGUUUCGGAUCGUAAAGCUCUGUUGUAAGAGAAGAACGAGUGUGAGAGUGGAAAGUUCACACUGUGACGGUAUCUUACCAGAAAGGGACGGCUAACUACGUG
RNAcentral lists this ribosomal RNA (495 nucleotides) under uncultured bacterium. Its description in RNAcentral is "partial 16S ribosomal RNA". It matches the Rfam family "Bacterial small subunit ribosomal RNA", at positions 28 to 507 of the family's 1533-position model. The record is from RNAcentral.